Molecule: long non-coding RNA, 1038 nt
Filed under: Monodelphis domestica (gray short-tailed opossum)
Lineage: Eukaryota; Metazoa; Chordata; Mammalia; Didelphimorphia; Didelphidae
Description: lncRNA (ENSMODG00000041075.1)
Source: RNAcentral
GGAUAAUAAUAGUACUUAAUUCCCAGAGUUGUUGUGAGGAUCAAAUGAGAUAAAAUUUGUAAGGCCCUUUGUAAAUCUUAUAGCUCCAUAUAAAGGUUAAGUAUUAUUAUUAUUAUAUCUAUCAUCAUCAUUUUUUCUUUAGUCACAAAAUUUCCCAUUUUUUAUGGAUACAAGAAAAUUUUAUUGAUAUGAUAUGAUAUGAUUCAUUCAACCUCGGAACUGGAAGGGAUUUUAAGCUUAUGCAACUUGCAUAGGAAGUCACUAAUGGGAUUUGGGUCUAUUGGACACUAAGUCUAUCCCUCUGUGGAGAUGCAGCAUAGAUGAUCUAUAUACCUACCAUCUUUUCCAGGUCAUAUUUCAGAAUGUCCAUAUGGUAUCCAGAAGAUCCAUUGUCUGUACUUUUAAUGUAGCCUAAAAUCUGGAGGGACAGGGCUACGAUUGGAAGAGUGACCACAUUCAUGUGAGACAUCACUUAUAUCAUUUGGAGCCAGUGACCUCAUCACUACAUCCAGAUCAAACUGCCUCUUCAUUGGAAACCAUUGGGAGGAUAUCACUAUUGGAAAGAUGGGUUCUCUGUCUCAGAUGGCAGAACCAGAAGAAAGAGGCAAUUGGGAGAAGAUGUGCAGAAGCAAAAUUCAAACUGAGAGAAGGAAUAACUUCCUAACCGUGCUAAAGAUAUCCAAAUGAUAAAGAAGGUCCCCAGGAAAUUCAGUGGUUGGACCAGAUCACACAUGUAACUGAAUGACAGAGGAAGGAUUUGAUCUCAGGGCUCACUUCGACACAAGCUAUUUCCAUCCUCCCACUUCUUCAAGCUGGGAGCUGGGACUAGAGCUGAUCCUGCCACCAGAUGGAGACCUUGGUUCCUGCUUCCAUGGGAAGUUGGGGAAGGAAAUUUGCACCUGGCCAGAGAGCGAGCUGGAGCAGCAUCCCUUAGGGGAGGGCCAGACUCUGCCCCUGCUUCAGUCAGGCCAAGGCCUGCAUAGUCCAAGGAAAAGUGGGGUCAAGCUGAGAGAGCUUAUGGAAAAGGGCAAAUUCUGA